Molecule: non-coding RNA, 2107 nt
Organism: Nicotiana tabacum (common tobacco)
Lineage: Eukaryota; Viridiplantae; Streptophyta; Magnoliopsida; Solanales; Solanaceae
Source: RefSeq, a predicted model, not a curated record
CAAUUAAAUUUUAUUUUCUUUUUUAAAUUCUUUUUAGUUUCAAAGCUCUAUCUUUUAUCUCCAUAUCUCGUUGCAUGUCUGCACUUGACUUUGCCAACCAACAAGCCGAUUAUUUUCUGAUUGGACCAUUUUCAUAGCAGAUGAAAAACCUUCAUCGAUUAUUCUCUUCAUUUUUGCUUUCUUCGCCCCAAUAGGUCGUUCUAAUAAUGUGGAAUCACCUGCAACAUCCUCAUUCAAAUUUAGUGAAAAUGUUGAUAAGUUAGGAGAUGAUACUAGAGGUGAAUCAGGAGUAGGAGUCUCAGACGCCGAUGAUAUAUAAGAAGAGUCUUGCUUUCGAACUUUUUUUCUUCCAACAUCGACAUCCUUAAACUUCUCAAAAUCAUUCAACAUAUCCCACACAUGAUCAAAUUUAAAACUUUUUUUUAUAGUUCGGAUCUUGCAUAAGUAAGCGUUUUGCUUGAUUAAUCUGCAAUAUUUAAAAAAAAUUGAAGAUAAACUAUAAGUAAAUAUAUACAAAUAAAGUAUAAGUAAUUACAAAAUAAAUACUGACAAUAUCUUUAUCUGAAGCACCACUAAGAUGCAAAUUUUCAACUUGUCGUACACGACCAUUUAAUUUUCUUAUAGCCUUCUCAAUAACUUGAAUUCAAGAUUGCACCGAUCUUUUGUUGCGAUACUCCCAACACUCAUCAUUUGCAUUAUUUUAUGCUUCUUCCACUCGACUCCAAAAAUGAUCUCUAGAUUGAUGUACACACGUUAUUGGAUCUUGAGAAAUAUCUAAAUAAACUUAGCAUAAUAGCAUAUCUUUUGGUAAUGUAUCUUUUAAAUCGAGUAGACAUUUUUUGCAAGUGAUUAGAGGAAAAGUGGAUUAUAUGUCUAAAGAAAAACAAAAGUCAACUUCGUAUAGAUGGGUAUGUUGGCACUUUAAUAUAUAUAGAUACAAGUAGAGCCAAAAAUUGACAUAAUACAUACUUAGAUUUCAUCUUGAUUUCAACCGUUGGAUGGAUUUCAUCCUAAUUUCAACCGUCGGAUGGAUUUCAUCCUUAACUCCAAUUUAGCUUUAGGUAAAAUAUCUUUACACAUUCUUCAAUGUGUAGAGAUAAAGUAGACACAAUUAUUGACCGGAUAAUAAUAGGAUAGAUUUUAUCUUGAUCUCAACCGUCGGAUGGAUUUCAUCCUUAUCUCAAAUUUAUCUUUUGGUAAAAUAUCUCUGCACAUACUUCAAUCUAUAAAAAUGAAUAUCAUUUAGGAAAAUAACUCAAGAUUCCAAUUCAUUUCAAAAUCAAGUCAAAUAUUCUUAUUUGUCUUCUGAAAAUGAAUUCCUAUACUGGAGGUUUAUCUAAUAAUAAUGAUGAAAAUUCCUCUUCAUCAUCAUCAUCUUUAAAUUUUGAUGAUACUAUUGUAGAAUGACAUCAAGUUAUCUUGCAAAAUAUUCGCAUGAAGAACUAUAUGUUGCAGCAUUUGCAAGAAUAUUAAAAUAAUGAAGUUUUCAGAGUUGGCUCCGUUCCAGGUCAUUUGGUAAUAAUCGAGAUCGUGAAGUAGCUGAUAAUAUAUUUCUCGAUUAUUUUUCAGAUAAUCCACGCUUUAAUGACGAAUGUAGGUAUACGGUUUGCUAGCGGAUGCCACUGACAAAUAUGUGAAAAUUGAAGAGUCAACUACAAAGCAUUAAGAGGUUUUGUUGAGCUAUCGUAGAGGUUUUUGGCGAGCAGUAUUUGAGAUCACCAACAAUUAACGAUGUUGCAAUGCUUCUUUGCAUCGGUGAACAACGUGGUUUUCCAAGAAUGCUAGGAAGUCUAGAUUGCAUGCAUUGGAGAUGGAAAAAUUGUCCAACAACAUGGGCUGGACAAUAUGCAGGUCGUAGCGGAUCCCCAACAAUUAUUCUUGAAGUUGUAACUGGUUAUGAUCUUUGGAUAUGGGAGGCAUAUUUUGGUAGGCCCGACACCAAUAAUGAUAUUAAUGUUUUAGACUCAUCACAUUUGUCUUCCAAGCUUGCUAAAGGUAUUGCUCCUCCCGCCCAUUAUGUUGUUAAAGGAAAAGAAUAUGAUGUGGGUUAUUAUUUAGUUGACAGUAUAUAUCCAAAAUGGUCUGCUAUGUGCAAACUAUUCCUGAG